GACGAACGCUGGCGGCGUGCCUAACACAUGCAAGUGGAGCGACGAACCAGGCUUCGGCCUGGGGCAAAGCCGCGAACGGGUGAGUAACACGUGGGUAACCCUGCCCUGAUGAUUGGGACAACCCGGAGGAAACUCGGGCUAAUACCAAAUGUGCCCUUCGGCCACAAGGCCGCUGGGGAAAGGAAGCUUCGGCCUCCGCAUCUGGAUGGGCCCGCGGCCCAUUAGCUUGUUGGUGAGGUAACGCNCACCAAGGCGACGAUGGGUAGCUGGUCUGAGAGGACGAUCAGCCACACUGGGACUGAGACACGGCCCAGACUCCUACGGGAGGCAGCAGUGGGGAAUCUUGCGCAAUGCGCGAAAGCGUGACGCAGCAACGCCGCGUGGGG
This 386-nucleotide ribosomal RNA is filed under the name uncultured bacterium. RNAcentral's name for it is "bacterial SSU rRNA". It matches the Rfam family "Bacterial small subunit ribosomal RNA", at positions 28 to 406 of the family's 1533-position model. The record is from RNAcentral.